CCUGCCUGUAAGACUGGGAUAACUCCGGGAAACCGGGGCUAAUACCGGAUGCUUGAUUGAACCGCAUGGUUCAAUCAUAAAAGGUGGCUUUCAGCUACCACUUGCAGAUGGACCCGCGGCGCAUUAGCUAGUUGGUGAGGUAACGGCUCACCAAGGCGACGAUGCGUAGCCGACCUGAGAGGGUGAUCGGCCACACUGGGACUGAGACACGGCCCAGACUCCUACGGGAGGCAGCAGUAGGGAAUCUUCCGCAAUGGACGAAAGUCUGACGGAGCAACGCCGCGUGAGUGAUGAAGGUUUUCGGAUCGUAAAACUCUGUUGUUAGGGAAGAACAAGUACCGUUCGAAUAGGGCGGUACCUUGACGGUACCUAACCAGAAAGCCACGGCUAACUACGUGCCAGCAGCCGCGGUAAUACGUAGGUGGCAAGCGUUGUCCGGAAUUAUUGGGCGUAAAGCGCGCGCAGGCGGUUUCUUAAGUCUGAUGUGAAAGCCCCCGGCUCAACCGGGGAGGGUCAUUGGAAACUGGGGAACUUGAGUGCAGAAGAGGAGAGUGGAAUUCCACGUGUAGCGGUGAAAUGCGUAGAGAUGUGGAGGAACACCAGUGGCGAAGGCGACUCUCUGGUCUGUAACUGACGCUGAGGCGCGAAAGCGUGGGGAGCGAACAGGAUUAGAUACCCUGGUAGUCCACGCCGUAAACGAUGAGUGCUAAGUGUUAGAGGGUUUCCGCCCUUUAGUGCUGCAGCAAACGCAUUAAGCACUCCGCCUGGGGAGUACGGUCGCAAGACUGAAACUCAAAGGAAUUGACGGGGGCCCGCACAAGCGGUGGAGCAUGUGGUUUAAUUCGAAGCAACGCGAAGAACCUUACCAGGUCUUGACAUCCUCUGACAACCCUAGAGAUAGGGCUUCCCCUUCGGGGGCAGAGUGACAGGUGGUGCAUGGUUGUCGUCAGCUCGUGUCGUGAGAUGUUGGGUUAAGUCCCGCAACGAGCGCAACCCUUGAUCUUAGUUGCCAGCAUUCAGUUGGGCACUCUAAGGUGACUGCCGGUGACAAACCGGAGGAAGGUGGGGAUGACGUCAAAUCAUCAUGCCCCUUAUGACCUGGGCUACACACGUGCUACAAUGGGCAGAACAAAGGGCAGCGAAGCCGCGAGGCUAAGCCAAUCCCACAAAUCUGUUCUCAGUUCGGAUCGCAGUCUGCAACUCGACUGCGUGAAGCUGGAAUCGCUAGUAAUCGCGG
RNAcentral lists this ribosomal RNA (1237 nucleotides) under Bacillus licheniformis. Its description in RNAcentral is "bacterial SSU rRNA". It matches the Rfam family "Bacterial small subunit ribosomal RNA", at positions 125 to 1347 of the family's 1533-position model. The record is from RNAcentral. Lineage: Bacteria; Bacillati; Bacillota; Bacilli; Caryophanales; Bacillaceae.